This is an RNA transcript of Oncorhynchus keta (chum salmon), 6254 nucleotides long. It is a transcript of the gene named somatotropin-2-like, with no coding region annotated. The transcript has 2 exons. The record is from RefSeq and is a predicted model, not a curated record. Lineage: Eukaryota; Metazoa; Chordata; Actinopteri; Salmoniformes; Salmonidae.
CUUGAUCAUAAAUGAACAAUUGUCCAGACAGAGGCUUGAGUUUACGAAUUGACGGUUUAUUACACCAACUUUACACAGGCUACUGUUUGGGCCGUAGCACACGCCGAAUAGAUGACAGAUAACCCACAAGCCAAUCGUGACCUUCUCUUGUGAAGCCCAGACGUAAGAGAGAGAGAACAAAGGCUGAACCUGGUCUUAACUUCCAAUGCUCCACCCCCCUCCACGCCACUCCGCCAACCACCAGGAUGCCCGGCAUCAGAACAUUCCAGGCAUUCCCGUGAUUGGCAGAUAGCAGGUUGAUUGACAUGUCGGACCCCGCGAACACCGGGUACUGGUCAGUACAACACAACCACCUCCUAGCCUAACACAUAACACACAGCUAGCUAGCUGUCUGUGCGGGUCGCUACAAUAUUAUUAAGUAGGCUGUUGGUCUUUUGAGGUCCGUUAUGUCAAUUUGUGGUCCUUCUGUAGCUCAGUUGGUAGAGCAUGGCGCUUGUAACGCCAGGGUAGUGGGUUCGAUCCCCGGGACCACCCAUACGUAGAAUGUAUGCACACAUGACUGUAAGUCGCUUUGGAUAAAAGCGUCUGCUAAAUGGCAUAUAUUAUUAUAUUAUUUGCCUUUAUACAUCUCAUUGACCUACUGUCAACUCCCUCAGUUGUAAACAUCUACAAUAAUCAUUAGACGUACGCGUCAGAGUUAUCAUACCCCGUGUCGGGGUUUGUACAGAGUUGGUUAAAUCCGCUCUUUUGCUCCCCACUUACAUGGCUAAUAAUCUCCAAGCUGCUCUAAGUGGUGUUGUUUGAGUGAAUAUUGUUUUCCAUAAAGUUAAUAACCCCUAAACCGAUAUAUGAAAUUACCUCUGCCCCUAUCUAUAAAGCGUGAGAUACAUUUUUAAAACCAGUUAUUUAAUUCAAAAGAUUUAGUACCUACAUUUUAACACAUUCCAAAAUGUUUACUAUUUCUUACAGAUAAAGGGUCCUGUUAGCCCCCGACCUGUAACUGACAGUUAGACUUACAGGUUAUGUCGUUGUCUUUUGUUUGAAUUGUUUAUGUGUCCGCUGUGCGGGGGAAAUGAUAAUACAAGCGGAACUAUGUAGCUAAUACUGUUGUAACGGGGAUCCUUAUUGUAGCAACACACUUUUGGAGGGAAGGCAAUCCUGCGCUGCGUUAGCUAAGUUUUCAUGUCAUCGGGUGUAGUUCAUAAAGGUUGAAGCGUGUAUGUUAGGAUGAAGUGUGAAUUCAUGCCAGGAAUAAUAAGUGUGAAGUUUGAUUUCCUCCCUUCUGGAAUAAGCAGUGUUGAUAAUGGGAUAUGAUAAAGGGUGAGUCGGUCAAGGAUCGAUGCAGACAAGGUGGUAGAUUGUACGACAAGCGACAGGUUUAUUCAGAGUGAAGAUAUCUGGUACAGCGUAUAUACGGGCCCCUCUGUUAGCUCAUCAGAGACUAGCAGAAAGGAGCCUUGCUAACAUUCUCACGGAAGGGGAUAAUUCUCACUGAAACUACAGAAUAAAGCCGCCAGUUAAAAUCAAGGAACGGUUGUGCUCGUGGUUACUGAAGGGAGCUACAAGACCCUUAUCCGUUUCGAAUUCACCAACUCAAAGACGCUUGCCCGCUCCAUCAUAACUCCGUAAGUUUUCCCUCCCUGUCUAGAUCAAACGUCCUGCCUGUAAAUCCUGGGUAUGCCCACAUCAUUAAUGAAUAAGAUGUGUAGAAAACUGUUUAGCCAUAGUUAAAGGCCUUUCAUAAAGAGGCUGUCAUGAUUGCAUGUGCCUCAUGUUUAACACGUAUUGCUUGUUACAGAAUACUACUGUUGUACAUCUAAUAUCCCCUAGCAGAUUUCGUUGCCUUUGCACAAAUUCUGUCAUGUUACUGUGGUCUUUUAAAAGUCAAUAAAUAUGUGUGGAAAGUGUACAUGUUUGUUUCACUGUAGAUCUGUUUAAGACCUCCUAGAAACACCUAAUUUCAUCCCACAGCAUUAAUUAAUAAACUGUGUAGAAGCUGUUUAGCCAUAAGUAAAGGCCUUUCAUAAAGCGGCUGUCAUGAUAAACCUGAAUCUGAAAGUACCUUUAGGAUCUUUUCUUUGGGGUUCUAAUCUCCCCAGGUGUACAUGCACUGAACAUCCAUAGGCUGGAGCCAUCUGGAAGCUCUGUGCCUGUACAUAUAAAGAUAACUAAAUAGGAAACUAGGCUGAGAAACAUUAGUUAGAUGGCUGUUUAAUUGUUGUUCAAAGCUUGAAAUGGACACAAUGCCAAGGGACCUUGUUUCUAACAGAUACACACACACACACACACACACACACACACACACACACACACACACACACACACACACACACACACACACACACACAUACACACACACACAACACACACACACACACACAUAUUCAGGUCUUAAAGAUGGCUUGUUCUGGACAUUUAUAAUGCCUAUGCCCCAGAUCCAUAACCCAGGACAUUCCUGCUUCAUAGAUAACAACCAUAAGGGAGAUAAAACUGGGGGUGGGGGGCAUACCCUGUCCCAAAAGUUCAAACACUCAAACACCACCCUCCCCAGUUCAACCAGCCCCCUAGACAUCAAACAACAGGCCUACUUCAAAGCAUAACAUAAAGCUAUAAAAUAACACACACCCUCUAACAGGGGAGGGGGGCGGGCCGGAGGCCCAUAUUCAGACAUGUACACGUCAUCAGGACAUAAGGUCAGCAAUCAAUCAUUUUGACACAUGCCGUAUCCUCUAUCUCUCUCACACUGUGUACACCUAUAGGAUUUGAUCUUUUGCUUAACCACACCCCCAUUAUUCCCCAUAAAUAGAGGAGCAUCCCUCAGUCUCAGCAUCAUUAGGGUCAACGGACCCCAAAGAGCCUUAAACUGGACAAAGACUCAAGAUGGAACUCUACAAGGACAACCUCUUCCUCAACGGAUCUACUGGGCUCUAGCUAUAUGCUUACCCCUAAAAGACACCUCACCGGGAUCAGGACUUCAAGCUGGGGCUUCACACACCCCUUGGGCUCCAGCUACAUGCUACUACCUCAAAGACAUCUCACCAGGAUCUAGACAUCAAGCAGGGGCUUCACACACACACACACACACCCCUUGUACUCUAGCUAUAUGCUACUCCCUAAAAGACACUUCGCCGGGAUCCAGACAUUAAGUUGGGGCUUCAUACCCCCUGGGCUCCAGCUAUAGCUACUCCCUAAAAACACCUCACCGGGAUCAAGACACCAGCUGGUACCCUGCCCCCCCCACCACACACCUCUCAUCCCCGACCCAUUCUCCUCCCGGAGGAAAAAGCCUACAUCUUUAUGGUACACCGUGAAUCCGGAUUACUUCAAGCUGUACCCUAACCCCUACUAUUCCCUCCCUACAUAUAGAUACUCCCACAACGGACCUUCAUAGACCUUCCAGACCAUCGAGCCUCAACCACACAUACACCCACACACACAUCCUAAUUUUUCCGGUCCAUAAUACAGCUUUUUACCACAUUAUGACCGAGUGCGCUUUUUUGCACCUUUUUUCUCCUCCCUGCUACCUGAUGAAGCCGAGUAAGGCAGAAACGCGUCGUGGAAGGCAGAUUCCACACAGACUUCGGGGUACCUCCUCUUGGCUACCUAUUGUCAUUUGUACUUUUUUCUUACCCUUACUUUCAGUUGUACACAGGGACACACACGGAAGAUCUACAGGACAGCGAUGACCCUGGGCACUCUGAUGGCUACUCAGACCCCCUACUUCACCACAAUACAAGCCCAAACAAUUUCGACGGGGCAUAGUUAUCUACAUAGACCCUCUACACAUUUUGAAAGAGACGCACAGAGGGUCCGGCCGAAAAAGAGUUUAAACCGGCAACCUUGUCUCAUCAUAGGAUCGUCGCAUUCACCUUACAUAAGACUCUCUGUUUUUCAGGCUUCAUCGAAUGGCACAACAGGCUCCUACCUACUCCGACCACACAGGACAACCCGGUCUCACCAACCCAAGAUCAACUAAGAACCAAAGACAAAGAAACCCCUCAAAGAAAACAGCUUACCCCCACCAUACCAGGGGACCCAGAGACCUGGUCAUACCCUCAUAAGGUUGACAUAGGAACGGGCUCCUUUUGGACAACGCAAAGCCUCCUAAACUUCCCCACAUCAUACCCUUACCAGGGUGAUUGAGGGAACGUAACAGAGGCAGAGUGUUAAGGUGGCCUCUGAUUUUUUAUCUCCAUCCCAUACCCAGACCUGGGUGGGAUGGAAUGAAAACCAGCAGGAACAGGUUACAACUCCACAACCAUCUAUCUCCACAUACUCUUCCCAGCCAACACCACCUAACAUAGGAUUGCUGAACAGGACCACUGGAUGAAUCCCCUCAGCUGGCAACUAUACCCACAGCUAAUCCCACCCCAUGGGUUUCCGGGACCCCUAGACACCAAACCUCUCAAAUCAUUUUAAAGAAGACAUGCACAGAGGGGCCAGCAGAAAAAGUUUUGACCGGUAGCCUAGUCUCAUCAUAGGAACGCCGACUUCACCUCACACAGAGUCCCCUUUUUUAGGCUUCUACGAAUGGCAUAAUAGGCCCCCACCCACUCCGACCACAUAGGACAACCCGAGCUCACCAACCCAAGACCUACUAGAACCAAAGACAAGAAAACCCCCCAAGAAAGCAGCCCACCCCAACCAUACCAGGGGAGCCAGAGACCCGGUCAUACCCUCACAAAGUUGACAUAGGAACGGACUCCUUUUGGGAAACGCAAACCCUCCUAACCUUCCCUCACCUGACCAGGGUGAUUGACGGAACGGAGCAGAGGCAGAGUGUUGAAGUGACCUCUGAACUUUCCUUCCCGUCCCAUACCCUGUUCAGGGUGGUAUGGAGUGAAAAUCAGUAAGAACAGGUUAAUUAGGCAACCCCCAUAAACUGUAAGUCAGUCAUUUUUCCCAACAGAUGUCAAAGAAAAGCUCUCUCACACACACACAGCAAGAAUGGUGUGAAAAGGUGCAGUGCUGAAAGACACAGAGAGCAGUUAAUGGCAUAAACACAAACUCUAGGCCUUUCAACAAGAUCUCCCGCUUGACCGUAGCUCGCUCGGUCUGACCACAGUGACCAUGCAAAAAGUAGUCUCAUGUAGCAGGCUUUGUCUGCGUAAAAGUAAUCUCAUGUAGCUCACUCGGUCACCGGUCCGCAGGGACCAUGCAAAAAAGUAGUGUCAUGUAGCUCACUCAGACCGGUCUGACCACAGGACCGUGCAAAAAAGUAAUCUCAUGUAGCUCACUUGGUCUGAUCAUAGGGGCCAUUUAAAAUGCAUUAUGGAGUGGGAUUAUGAAGCUGCAUUAUGGAGUGGGAUUAUGAAACUGCCUUUUUUAUUUUCAUGUUCACAGAAACAUUGGAAGAAACAAGGACACAGAGUAAUCAGUACCGGUUUUAUGGGUACCUGUGUGCCUACUUUACAUCCAUAUAUGGCCACAGACCAGGCCUAUAUAAAAACGUGUUGGUAAAAGAGGUGGAGGAGGCAAAAUGUGACCAGUCUGGGGUGUAUCUGAUCAAUGUAAGUCUAUGAAAUACAGCUGGCUGUGUUUAUUUGUUCGUUUGCUUGGUUAUCUUUGAAAACAAUUGCAGUCGCAAGGGGUACUACACUCAAUAUGGAAUUUGUUCCAUUCGUGGCCCAUUCUGCCAAUAUUCAUAAAUGAUUUCAUCUCAUUGCAUGAUGUUGGGACAAAGCCAAUCUCCGCUCUCUGCUCUCUUUAAAGGUUGUUUGAUGGAGUGUGAGACAUUCAGCCAUCUGUUUAUCCGGGUUGCAGGGUUGGGGUGAACAAGUUUACGCUCUCUGUGAGUCCCAAAUGGCACCCUAUUCCCUAUAUAGUGCACUACUUUUGGUUCACUAUGUAGGGAAUAGUGUGCCUAUUUGAGACUCAGCCUCUGUUUGGCUCCUGGGGUCCUGGACAUGUAUCCAACACGACGCCAGAUGGUUACUCUUCGGAACAUGAUGCCCGCAGCAGCUUUGUUCAAUCAGAGAGAGGCAGAGAGUCAGCGCACACACACACACACACACACACACACACACACACACACACACACACACACACACACACACACACACACACACACACACACACACACACAGAGAGGAGAGUGUCUUUUCAGGAGCAAGUGUCAAUGCAGAACGCUCCAGGCCUUCUGAGAAUAUGUUCUUUAUGUUACGAUAUGGCAACAUUAUCAGAUGUGCAGAGAUGGUGGGCAGGAUUAUGUUGUCAUAAUUUUUGGAUCGCUUGGUGAUAAAAAAAAUAUAUAU